Molecule: non-coding RNA, 24 nt
Filed under: Arabidopsis thaliana (thale cress)
Lineage: Eukaryota; Viridiplantae; Streptophyta; Magnoliopsida; Brassicales; Brassicaceae
Source: RNAcentral
GUUGAUUGUUUGCUCAAACAUGGG